This 253-nucleotide ribosomal RNA is filed under the name uncultured bacterium. Its description in RNAcentral is "partial 16S ribosomal RNA". It matches the Rfam family "Bacterial small subunit ribosomal RNA", at positions 524 to 776 of the family's 1533-position model. The record is from RNAcentral.
UACGAAGGGGGCUAGCGUUGUUCGGAAUCACUGGGCGUAAAGGGCGCGUAGGCGGCCUGGCAAGUCGGGGGUGAAAGCCUGUGGCUCAACCACAGAAUGGCCUUCGAUACUGCCGGGCUUGAGUCCGGAAGAGGUGAGUGGAACUCCGAGUGUAGAGGUGAAAUUCGUAGAUAUUCGGAAGAACACCAGUGGCGAAGGCGGCUCACUGGUCCGGUACUGACGCUGAGGUGCGAAAGCGUGGGGAGCAAACAGG